RNAcentral lists this unclassified non-coding RNA (272 nucleotides) under uncultured Hypocreales. Its description in RNAcentral is "sequence contains 5.8S rRNA gene, ITS2, 28S rRNA gene". The stretch from base 1 to 52 matches the Rfam family "5.8S ribosomal RNA", at positions 103 to 154 of the family's 154-position model. Lineage: Eukaryota; Fungi; Ascomycota; Sordariomycetes; Hypocreales. The record is from RNAcentral.
AACGCACAUUGCGCCCGCCAGUAUUCUGGCGGGCAUGCCUGUUCGAGCGUCAUUUCAACCCUCAAGCCCCCGGGCUUGGCGUUGGGGAUCGGCAGCUAACCGGCGCCUUCGCGGGCGUCCGGGGCCGUCCCCCAAAUCCAUCGGCGGUCACGCCGCGGCGUCCCCUGCGUAGUACUGCACCUCGCACCGGACCGCGGCCUGGCCACGCCGUAAAACCCCCGACUUUUAUCGUGGUUGACCUCGAAUCAGGUAGGACUACCCGCUGAACUUAA